RNAcentral lists this ribosomal RNA (433 nucleotides) under uncultured bacterium. RNAcentral's name for it is "bacterial SSU rRNA". It matches the Rfam family "Bacterial small subunit ribosomal RNA", at positions 355 to 796 of the family's 1533-position model. The record is from RNAcentral.
UCGAGGAUCUUCGGCAAUGGGCGCAAGCCUGACCGAGCGACGCCGCGUGUGCGAUGAAGGCCUUCGGGUUGUAAAGCACUGUCGAGGGGGAGGAAAGCCGUAAGGUCUGACCUAUCCCUGGAGGAAGGACGGGCUAAGUUCGUGCCAGCAGCCGCGGUAAGACGAACCGUCCUAACGUUAUUCGGAAUCACUGGGCUUAAAGGGCGCGUAGGCGGAUGAGCAAGUCCGGAGUGAAAUCUUUCGGCUUAACCGGAAAAGUGCUUUGGAUACUGCUCAUCUUGAGGGAGGUAGGGGCAUGUGGAACUUCUGGUGGAGCGGUGAAAUGCGUUGAUAUCAGAAGGAACGCCGGUGGCGAAAGCGACGUGCUGGCCCUCUUCUGACGCUGAGGCGCGAAAGCUAGGGGAGCAAACGGGAUUAGAUACCCCCGUAGUCC